RNAcentral lists this ribosomal RNA (495 nucleotides) under uncultured bacterium. Its description in RNAcentral is "partial 16S ribosomal RNA". It matches the Rfam family "Bacterial small subunit ribosomal RNA", at positions 28 to 507 of the family's 1533-position model. The record is from RNAcentral.
GACGAACGCUGGCGGCGUGCCUAAUACAUGCAAGUCGAACGCUGAAGGAGGAGCUUGCUUCUCUGGAUGAGUUGCGAACGGGUGAGUAACGCGUAGGUAACCUGCCUGGUAGCGGGGGAUAACUAUUGGAAACGAUAGCUAAUACCGCAUAAUAGUAGAUGUUGCAUGACAUUUGCUUAAAAGGUGCAAUUGCAUCACUACCAGAUGGACCUGCGUUGUAUUAGCUAGUUGGUGAGGUAACGGCUCACCAAGGCGACGAUACAUAGCCGACCUGAGAGGGGGAUCGGCCACACUGGGACUGAGACACGGCCCAGACUCCUACGGGAGGCAGCAGGAGGGAAUCUUCGGCAAUGGACGGAAGUCUGACCGAGCAACGCCGCGUGAGUGAAGAAGGUUUUCGGAUCGUAAAGCUCUGUUGUAAGAGAAGAACGAGUGUGAGAGUGGAAAGUUCACACUGUGACGGUAGCUUACCAGAAAGGGACGGCUAACUACGUG